GGAGAUUUAGCUCAGCAGUAGAGCACUUGCCUAGCAAGCACAAGGCCCUGGGUUCAGUCCCCAGCUCUG
Molecule: transfer RNA, 69 nt
Filed under: Rattus norvegicus (Norway rat)
Lineage: Eukaryota; Metazoa; Chordata; Mammalia; Rodentia; Muridae
Rfam family: tRNA
About the family: Transfer RNA (tRNA) molecules are approximately 80 nucleotides in length. Their secondary structure includes four short double-helical elements and three loops (D, anti-codon, and T loops).
Source: Rfam by way of RNAcentral